RNAcentral lists this ribosomal RNA (504 nucleotides) under uncultured bacterium. RNAcentral describes it as "partial 16S ribosomal RNA". It matches the Rfam family "Bacterial small subunit ribosomal RNA", at positions 29 to 507 of the family's 1533-position model. The record is from RNAcentral.
ACGAACGCUGGCGGCGUGCCUAAUACAUGCAAGUAGAACGCACAGUUUAUACCGUAGCUUGCUACACCAUAGACUGUGAGUUGCGAACGGGUGAGUAACGCGUAGGUAACCUGCCUGGGAGCGGGGGAUAACUAUUGGAAACGAUAGCUAAUACCGCAUAAUAUUAAUUAUUGCAUGAUAAUUAAUUGAAAGGUGCAAUUGCACCACUACCAGAUGGACCUGCGUUGUAUUAGCUAGUAGGUGAGGUAACGGCUCACCUAGGCGACGAUACAUAGCCGAACUGAGAGGGUGAUCGGCCACACCGGGACUGAGACACGGCCCAGACUCCUACGGGAGGCAGCAGUAGGGAAUCUUCGGCAAUGGACGAAAGUCUGACCGAGCAACGCCGCGUGAGUGAAGAAGGUUUUCGGAUCGUAAAGCUCUGUUGUAAGAGAAGAACGGGUGUGAGAGUGGAAAGUUCACACUGUGACGGUAGCUUACCAGAAAGGGACGGCUAACUACGUG